UCUUGGCUGAGUCUACAGGCACAACUGCUGCC
This 32-nucleotide non-coding RNA is filed under the name Homo sapiens (human). Lineage: Eukaryota; Metazoa; Chordata; Mammalia; Primates; Hominidae. The record is from RNAcentral.